This 681-nucleotide unclassified non-coding RNA is filed under the name Hevea brasiliensis (rubber tree). The record is from RNAcentral. Lineage: Eukaryota; Viridiplantae; Streptophyta; Magnoliopsida; Malpighiales; Euphorbiaceae.
AUUCGGUGAGGCCAACGGUUUGCCGAAGAGAGAUACGAGGAACAGAGAGAAGCUGAAGCUUCUCUGGCCACUUUUUAUCGUCCCUGUCACCAAUGAAGCUAUGAGAGAUCUCCCUAGCCAUCAUCGGAGUCCAAGCAAUCCUUGGCCCCUCGUUUUGCUGGAAAAUGCGAGGGAGACCAGAUCGGAAAACGGAGACUCGAAGCUUUAAGGAUUGAUUCGGCCAAACAAGGAGGAAUUCUGGCUUGUGGCAGAUACCAAGGUGACCACCGAGUAAAGGCGUACCUGUGGCAACCUUCAGUGGCACCAAAAACCAGUGGAGGAGACGACAACGGCAUUCGCGGGAGCAUAUCAAGUGAAUUGCCACUAUGCAGCGGAUUCCAGUGACAGUUGAGGAACAGCUUAUUUUGAAAGCAAUAAAGGAGGAAUGCCCAUGGGAGAAUCUCCCCAAAAGGCUUCAGGCAACUCUUACAACCAAAGAGGAAUGGCACAGAAGGUUAGAUUGGCUUCUUCUGUGCACCUUGAUUUGUAAUUUUAAGGUGCUGCGUCUUUGCAACAGAAAAAGCUAGUACUGCUUUUUGGUUACUUUUGCAAAUAAGUAUAGUUGAACACUGCAUAAAAAAAAGACAACAAUGGAACGCCUGUUUUGCUCGCAAAGUAUGCAAAGAAGGUGAAUAUUAUGAA